Molecule: ribosomal RNA, 467 nt
Filed under: uncultured bacterium
Lineage: Bacteria
Description: partial 16S ribosomal RNA
Rfam family: Bacterial small subunit ribosomal RNA
Source: RNAcentral
GACGAACGCUGGCGGCGUGCUUAACACAUGCAAGUCGAACGGAAAGGCCUCUUUCGGGGGGUACUCGAGUGGCGAACGGGUGAGUAACACGUUAGUAACCUGCCCUUCUCUUUGGGAUAACUUCAGGAAACUGGGGCUAAUACCGGAUAGGAGCUCCUGCUGCAUGGUGGGGGUUGGAAAGUUUCGGCGGUUUGGGUUGGAGUCGCGGCUUAUCAGCUUGUUGUUGGGGUAAUGGCUUACCAAGGCUUUGACGGGUAGCCGGACAGGGUGGGUGACCGGCCACAGUGGGACUGAGAAGAGGCACAGACACGGACGGGAGGGAGCAGGGGGAAAGAGUGAAAAAGGGGUGGAAGCCUGAUGCUGAAACGCCGUGGGCGGGAGGACGGUGUUGGGGUUGGAGAACGAAUGCGCUCAUGACGAAGCUGUGUGUGACGGUAGUGGGUAAAGAAGCACCGGCUAACUACGUG